Molecule: ribosomal RNA, 460 nt
Filed under: uncultured bacterium
Lineage: Bacteria
Description: partial 16S ribosomal RNA
Rfam family: Bacterial small subunit ribosomal RNA
Source: RNAcentral
CCUAUGGGGGGCAGCAGUGAGGAAUAUUGGUCAAUGGGCGGAAGCCUGAACCAGCCAAGUCGCGUGAGGGAUUAAGGCCCUGCGGGUCGUAAACCUCUUUUGCCGGGGAGCAGUGGUCCGGACGCGUCCGGACCGGGAGAGUACCCGGAGAAAAAGCAUCGGCUAACUCCGUGCCAGCAGCCGCGGUAAUACGGAGGAUGCGAGCGUUAUCCGGAUUUAUUGGGUUUAAAGGGUGCGCAGGCGGAAUGUCAAGUCAGCGGUAAAAUUUCGGGGCUCAACCCCGUCGUGCCGUUGAAACUGGCGUUCUUGAGUGAGCGAGAAGUAUGCGGAAUGCGUGGUGUAGCGGUGAAAUGCAUAGAUAUCACGCAGAACUCCGAUUGCGAAGGCAGCAUACCGGCGCUCAACUGACGCUCAUGCACGAAAGCGUGGGUAUCGAACAGGAUUAGAUACCCCUGUAGUC